UGCAAGUCGAGGGGCAGCACGAUGUAGCAAUACAUUGGUGGCGACCGGCGCACGGGUGCGUAACACGUAUGGAACUUGCCCUUUACUGGAGGAUAGCCCGGAGAAAUCCGGAUUAAUACUCCAUAACAAUCGAGGUGGCAUCACCUUGAUUUGAAAGCUCCGGCGGUAAAGGAUGGCCAUGCGCACGAUUAGCUAGUUGGUGAGGUAACGGCUCACCAAGGCUACGAUCGUUAGGGGGCCUGAGAGGGUUAUCCCCCACACUGGUACUGAGACACGGACCAGACUCCUACGGGAGGCAGCAGUGAGGAAUAUUGCGCAAUGGAGGCAACUCUGACGCAGCCAUGCCGCGUGCAGGAAGAAGGCGCUACGCGUUGUAAACUGCUUUUAACCGGGAAGAAACCCCAGGACGUGUCCUGGGUUGACGGUACCGGAGGAAUAAGCACCGGCUAACUUCGUGCCAGCAGCCGCGGUAAUACGAAGGGUGCAAGCGUUAUCCGGAUUCAUUGGGUUUAAAGGGUGCGUAGGUGGGGCGAUAAGUCAGUGGUGAAAUCCUGCGGCUUAACCGUAGAAUUGCCAUUGAUACUGUCGCUCUUGAGUACGCUUGACGUGGGCGGAAUGUGCCGUGUAGCGGUGAAAUGCUUAGAUAUGGCACAGAACACCGAUAGUGAAGACAGCUCACGAAGGCGAAACUGACACUGAGGCACGAAAGCGUGGGGAUCGAACAGGAUUAGAUACCCUGGUAGUCCACGCCGUAAACGAUGAUCACUCGUGAUUGGCGAUAUACGGUCAGUCACCUAGCGAAAGCGUUAAGUGAUCCACCUGGGGAGUACGAUCGCAAGAUUGAAACUCAAAGGAAUUGACGGGGGCCCGCACAAGCGGUGGAGCAUGUGGUUUAAUUCGAUGAUACGCGAGGAACCUUACCAGGGCUCGAACGCACGUCGACA
RNAcentral lists this ribosomal RNA (944 nucleotides) under uncultured Cryomorphaceae bacterium. RNAcentral describes it as "bacterial SSU rRNA". It matches the Rfam family "Bacterial small subunit ribosomal RNA", at positions 56 to 997 of the family's 1533-position model. Lineage: Bacteria; Pseudomonadati; Bacteroidota; Flavobacteriia; Flavobacteriales; Cryomorphaceae. The record is from RNAcentral.